AUGAAUUGGAUACUUCAAGAGAAGAGAAGAGAAUUGUCAAAUAAUGAGAGGCAUGGUGUUUACUUCGCCUUGCUGGUAAUCAAGCUCAGAGAUGGGUCUGUUCAACCAGACGACAAGCUGCUAGUCUCAAACCUGUUGGACAUAAUUGCACGAUCUAUUGAAAGAAUCUGGGAAGACGCCAAAAACCAAAUUGCCCAUGGCAAAGAAGUCGAUGUCUCAAGCAAGAAGCCAGGAAGAUCUGGCCGAACGAGAAAGGAGCUGGAUCUAGAGAGGACCUCAACAAUCCCACUGAAUAAAAGAAGGACAAUUCGAUCUCUGGCACGGUCUCUAGGUGUGGCCCGAUCUACCCUACAUAAGAGGUUCCAGUUGAAUGAGCUCAACCGCAUCACAAGCACCGUGAAGCCUCACCUCAAGCUAGAGAACAAGCUUGCGAGAUUGAAAUUUUGUAUGUCCAUGGUCGAUGACAAUUCGAUCUCAACUUCUCGGGCUAUGUUCAAACCAAUGACGAAUAUGGUUCACAUCGAUGAAAAGUGGUUUGCCAUGAUGAGAGUGAAGAAUAAUUACUAUGUACUUCCAGGAGAACCUGAACUGAAGCGCACCGUGUCAAACACUCACAACAUUGGGAAGGUAAUGUUCCUAACAGCUAUUGCCAGGCCUUGA
This 660-nucleotide ribosomal RNA is filed under the name Triticum aestivum (bread wheat). RNAcentral's name for it is "partial small subunit ribosomal RNA". The record is from RNAcentral. Lineage: Eukaryota; Viridiplantae; Streptophyta; Magnoliopsida; Poales; Poaceae.